Long non-coding RNA from Saccostrea cuccullata (small rock oyster), 891 nucleotides. RefSeq lists it as uncharacterized. Lineage: Eukaryota; Metazoa; Mollusca; Bivalvia; Ostreida; Ostreidae. The record is from RefSeq and is a predicted model, not a curated record. The transcript has 5 exons.
UUUAUACAUUCGGGUUCGGGGUUUCGGGCGGCCAUAGCGAAUUUCAGCAAGAUUUUACCCCAGUGAAAAAGGCUUGUAAUCCACAGUGAUCAGCUAAGAUGUUGUUUCACUGGAUUAUUUAAUUGGGCAUAUAAUUGAAUAAUUCUGGAUCAUCUGAGAUGUUAUUUCACUGGAUUAUUUAAUGGAUAGACUUAUUGGGGCAUAUAUUUGGAUAUCUCUGUCAUCAACAUAGAAGAUAUGUAUUGUUCCUAACCAUCUAUAAUCAAUUCUCUAUGAAGUUCAGACUGUCUGCUCUUCCUUUGGAAAUACACAGUUAGUCAACCAACAAAGAAACACACAAAACUUGAAGGAUUCUCUAGUGAGGGCUUAUGGAAAUGAUCUAUGUCUACUCUCAGAAUGGUGAAAGACUAUCAGAUUAUGCAAAGACUAACAGAAUAUCCUCUCUUGGAACACUGAAACAAGAAAAUCAAACAGGAGAUGGAUGGAGGAUUUAAGAAGCACAUAGAUAAAUAUAAUUUCCAACGAAUUUAACCAGUAUUAUCAUAGACUGUGGUUUACAGGAUGACAAAGUAACAGGAUUGUAUCUUUUUUACUGUCAGACACUGACUAUGGAUAAGAUGUACCCAUUUAUUAAACUGAGAUCUAGUCAAAUCAAGUACAAUUGUAUUGAAAAUAUGAUUUUCUGAUAGCAUGAACUCUUUAAGAAUUAAUUCUCACAGACCUCAAAGUAUCUGAAUGUGACUUUUAUUUUUACCAAUUUCUAUUGAAGACUGUUGUUAUGUAUGAGAAGUGUACAUUUAAACCUUUUAUUUUUCAUCUUAUUUCUAUAACCCCUAGAAAUUACACAGAUAUUCAGAUGUUGGAUUUAAUAUUAUUAUUUAACUUUCCUGG